ACGGGUGAGUAAUGCUUAGGAAUCUGCCUAUUAGUGGGGGACAACAUCUCGAAAGGGAUGCUAAUACCGCAUACGUCCUACGGGAGAAAGCAGGGGACCUUCGGGCCUUGCGCUAAUAGAUGAGCCUAAGUCGGAUUAGCUAGUUGGUGGGGUAAAGGCCUACCAAGGCGACGAUCUGUAGCGGGUCUGAGAGGAUGAUCCGCCACACUGGGACUGAGACACGGCCCAGACUCCUACGGGAGGCAGCAGUGGGGAAUAUUGGACAAUGGGGGGAACCCUGAUCCAGCCAUGCCGCGUGUGUGAAGAAGGCCUUUUGGUUGUAAAGCACUUUAAGCGAGGAGGAGGCUACCGAGAUUAAUACUCUUGGAUAGUGGACGUUACUCGCAGAAUAAGCACCGGCUAACUCUGUGCCAGCAGCCGCGGUAAUACAGAGGGUGCAAGCGUUAAUCGGAUUUACUGGGCGUAAAGCGCGCGUAGGUGGCCAAUUAAGUCAAAUGUGAAAUCCCCGAGCUUAACUUGGGAAUUGCAUUCGAUACUGGUUGGCUAGAGUAUGGGAGAGGAUGGUAGAAUUCCAGGUGUAGCGGUGAAA
This 589-nucleotide ribosomal RNA is filed under the name uncultured bacterium. RNAcentral describes it as "bacterial SSU rRNA". It matches the Rfam family "Bacterial small subunit ribosomal RNA", at positions 102 to 686 of the family's 1533-position model. The record is from RNAcentral.